AGCGAACGCUGGCGGCAGGCUUAACACAUGCAAGUCGAGCGGGCAUCUUCGGAUGUCAGCGGCAGACGGGUGAGUAACACGUGGGAACGUACCCUUCGGUUCGGAACAACUCUGGGAAACUGGAGCUAAUACCGGAUACGCCCUUAUGGGGAAAGGUUUACUGCCGAAGGAUCGGCCCGCGUCUGAUUAGCUAGUUGGUGGGGUAACGGCCUACCAAGGCGACGAUCAGUAGCUGGUCUGAGAGGAUGAUCAGCGACACUGGGACUGAGACACGGCCCAGACUCCUACGGGAGGCAGCAGUGGGGAAUAUUGGACAAUGGGCGCAAGCCUGAUCCAGCCAUGCCGCGUGAGUGAUGAAGGCCUUAGGGUUGUAAAGCUCUUUUGUCCGGGACGAUAAUGACGGUACCGGAAGAAUAAGCCCCGGCUAACUUCGUG
This 435-nucleotide ribosomal RNA is filed under the name uncultured bacterium. Its description in RNAcentral is "partial 16S ribosomal RNA". It matches the Rfam family "Bacterial small subunit ribosomal RNA", at positions 29 to 507 of the family's 1533-position model. The record is from RNAcentral.